CCAACGGCUGGCUCUGUGGGCGGCGGCAUGGGCAGACGGAACCCGCGCCAGUACCAGAUCCCCUCUCGGAACGUCCCUUCCGCCCGCCUGGGCCUCUUGGGCACCAGUGGAUUUGUCAGCUCCAACCAGCGCAACACCACAGCUGCCCCCACCAUCAUGAAACAAGGAAGACAGAACCUGUGGUUUGCCAACCCCGGAGGCAGCAAUAGCAUGCCAAGCCGCACCCACAGCUCAGUCCAGAGGACCCGCUCGCUGCCCGUGCACACUUCCCCACAGAACAUGCUGAUGUUCCAGCAGCCAGGUUCCCAAGUUCAUGGUGGACUGUGUUUAACAGACCUUAGAGGUUGGUUGAGCCUGAGUGGAGCCCCUUCCAUGCCAGCGCUGACAGUCCCCAAGUCCUCCCAGGGAGGUACACCAAACCUUUCUCCUGCAGGUGGAACCAGGUGGCACCCUGCUUAUCUCCUCCUUGUCACCAACAUAACCCUUUAUCCCCUGCAGAAUUCCAGCUUCCCGUGACCGAACCUGACAUCAACAACAGGCUGGAGUCGUUGUGCCUCAGUAUGACCGAACACGCCCUGGGAGAUGGGGUUGACCGGACCUCCACCAUCUAGAAGCCGAAGAUGAGAGUGACCGCGCUGGCCGUGAAAUCGACUGCUGCGGGUCCAGUGUCAGCCAUCUUCAGGGUUGCACAGAAUCCUCCAAGAUACUUUGCAGCCUUUUUUUCCUAUGGUCCCUCUCCCGUUUUGAUUUUGUGAGAGCGUAGCUCAUCCUCGUAAACAUAUCAGUAGACCUGGG
RNAcentral lists this small RNA (795 nucleotides) under Pongo abelii (Sumatran orangutan). RNAcentral's name for it is "retained intron". The record is from RNAcentral. Lineage: Eukaryota; Metazoa; Chordata; Mammalia; Primates; Hominidae.